This 1322-nucleotide long non-coding RNA is filed under the name Triticum aestivum (bread wheat). Its description in RNAcentral is "long non-coding RNA (TAES_LNC008767)". The record is from RNAcentral. Lineage: Eukaryota; Viridiplantae; Streptophyta; Magnoliopsida; Poales; Poaceae.
GAAUUGAUUCAUACGUUGGAUGAAGUUCUUCGCACUCACAAUUCCUGAUAAUUCUACUCGUCAGGCUCCGAGCAAUCUAUCGCAAAUGAAAGAAUCCAAAUAAAUAACCAUGCCAUGAAGAAGAACCAAAAGAAUAACAAAACAAAUAUGGCAAGGUUGAACAACAUCAAUAUAUAUAGGCUUGUAAUAUAUAAUAUAGGUCUCUAUGUGCUAUAGGGUGAAAGGUGGAAGGAUCAACUCACAAGAUUUACUGCAGAGAGAGAUAUUGCCAUAAAAUCUUAUGUUUGAGAUGAUAUAGAAUAAGGUCAAAAGUAUUUGGAGAGCAACAUGCAAGUUGUGUGUCAUACUGCAUAUGGCAUAAGGACACAUUUGGCGAAAGAAUUAAUUAAAAAGAAAUACUACAACAUACGUUAUAGCGAGAUGAAGUAUGAACUGAAUUUGAAUUUGAAACAGGUCAAAAAGUGUUUGAAUAUUGAGUAUACAGGAUGUGAUCGGCAAGUAUUGGUACUAGUGUUUCACGGGCAAAAGGAAUCAAUUGAAAAUGUGCUACGGUCUGCAAGAUAUCACCAUAUGAAAGUUUGAAUUCAAAUUUGACUCGCUCAAAUUUGAAAAGUUUGAACAAUUGAAAUAUUUACUCUACGGGAUAGUAGAGGUCAUGGUGAUCAUGUAGGAAAAAGAAUCACUCGAUUUGAAUAUACGGAUCACCAGAUGUAGCGAAACGAAAUUGGGUUGAAAAUCUGUCAAAAACGAAAUUGGGUUGAAAAUCUGUCACCGAAAAAAAAAACUGCCGGAAACAAUGGGGACCGUCGUGGAGCAGCUCUGAUCGGCGAUGGUGUCGCUCCUUGUGGCCAUAGGCGCCGGGGAAAUAACUGGAGAGGUGGGGUGCGACACAGCGAGGUCGGAGGUGCAGUCGAAGGUGAUCUAGGCGUCCUCGCGCGGCGGCUAUGCUCCGGCGAGAUCGGGUCUUCAGGGGGAGCUCGACUCGGUUCGCAUCUGGGAGAAAACAGGAGGUCAGAGGAGUCCGCGACAGCAAUGUGGAGAAGGUGGCAUGCUCAGUGAGGAGAAGGGCUUACGGGGCGGCCGGAGUUUGUCGCCGGAGUAGCUUCAGGCGGCUGCGAUUAGCGGGGUCGUCGCGCUCGAUUCCGAGGGCAAACUCGAGCAGCGUUUCGGGGAAUCGGAUGAGGGAUUCGUAGAGAUCACGUUGCAGUUUGAGAUGGACCGAAUCGCGGAGGGGUCAGGGAGAUCGGGCGCGAUCCUUGCGGGGUUCGUGCGGCGGCGGUGUCGUGCUGAAGAGGAACUCGGACGGGAGGUAGAAGACAGGG